GCCUUCGUGAUGUAGUGGUUAACACGCUCGGCUCGUAUUCGAGAGGUCCAUAGUUCUAGACUCGGCGAGGGCA
This is a non-coding RNA of Stegodyphus mimosarum, 73 nucleotides long. The record is from Rfam. Lineage: Eukaryota; Metazoa; Arthropoda; Arachnida; Araneae; Eresidae.